UGGGGAAUUUUGGACAAUGGGCGAAAGCCUGAUCCAGCAAUGCCGCGUGUGUGAAGAAGGCCUUCGGGUUGUAAAGCACUUUUGUCCGGAAAGAAAUCCUUGGCUCUAAUACAGUCGGGGGAUGACGGUACCGGAAGAAUAAGCACCGGCUAACUACGUGCCAGCAGCCGCGGUAAUACGUAGGGUGCAAGCGUUAAUCGGAAUUACUGGGCGUAAAGCGUGCGCAGGCGGUUUGCUAAGACCGAUGUGAAAUCCCCGGGCUCAACCUGGGAACUGCAUUGGUGACUGGCAGGCUAGAGUAUGGCAGAGGGGGGUAGAAUUCCACGUGUAGCAGUGAAAUGCGUAGAGAUGUGGAGGAAUACCGAUGGCGAAGGCAGCCCCCUGGGCCAAUACUGACGCUCAUGCACGAAAGCGUGGGGAGCAAACAGGAUUAGAUACCCUGGUAGUCCACGCCCUAAACGAUGUCAACUAGUUGUUGGGGAUUCAUUUCCUUAGUAACGUAGCUAACGCGUGAAGUUGACCGCCUGGGGGGUACGGUCGCAAGAUUAAAACUCAAAUGAAUUGACGGGGUCAUAGCUGUUUCC
Molecule: ribosomal RNA, 584 nt
Filed under: uncultured bacterium
Lineage: Bacteria
Description: partial 16S ribosomal RNA
Rfam family: Bacterial small subunit ribosomal RNA
Source: RNAcentral